RNAcentral lists this ribosomal RNA (433 nucleotides) under uncultured bacterium. RNAcentral's name for it is "partial 16S ribosomal RNA". It matches the Rfam family "Bacterial small subunit ribosomal RNA", at positions 29 to 507 of the family's 1533-position model. The record is from RNAcentral.
AACGAACGCUGGCGGCAUGCCUAACACAUGCAAGUCGAACGAGACCUUCGGGUCUAGUGGCGCACGGGUUCGUAACGCGUGGGAACCUGCCCUUAGGUUCGGAAUAACUCCCCGACAGGGGUGCUAAUACCGGAUAAUGUCUUCGGACCAAAGAUUUAUCGCCUUUGGAUGUGCCCGCGUUGGAUUAGCUAGUUGGUAGGGUAAAAGCCUACCAAGGCGACGAUCCAUAGCUUGUCUGAGAGGAUGAUCAGCCACACUGGGACUGAGACACGGCCCAGACUCCUACGGGAGGCAGCAGUGGGGAAUGUUGGACAGUGGGCGAAAGCCUGAUCCAGCAAUGCCGCGUGAGUGAUGAAGGCCUUAGGGUUGUAAAGCUCUUUUACCCGGGAUGAUAAUGACAGUACCGGGAGAAUAAGCUCCGGCUAACUCCGUG